CCUACGGGAGGCUGCAGUGAGGAAUAUUGGUCAAUGGGCGCGAGCCUGAACCAGCCAAGUAGCGUGAAGGAUGACUGCCCUACGGGUUGUAAACUUCUUUUAUAAAGGAAUAAAGUGCGGCACGUGUGCCUUUUUGUAUGUACUUUAUGAAUAAGGCACGGCUAACUCCGUGCCAGCCGCCGCGGUAAUACGGAGGAUCCGAGCGGUAUUCGGAUUUUUUGGGUUUAAAGGGAGCGUAGAUGGGUUGUUAAGUCUGUUGUGAAAGUUUGCGGCUCAACCGUCAAAUUGCAAUUGAUACUGGCAGCCUUGAGUACAGUUGAGGUAGGCGGAAUUCGUGGUGUAGCGGUGAAAUGCUUAGAUAUCACGAAGAACUCCGAUUGCGAAGGCAGCUUACUAAACUGCCACUGACAUUGAUGCUCGAAAGUGUGGGUAUCAAACAGGAUUAGAUACCCGGGUAGUC
This 460-nucleotide ribosomal RNA is filed under the name uncultured bacterium. Its description in RNAcentral is "partial 16S ribosomal RNA". It matches the Rfam family "Bacterial small subunit ribosomal RNA", at positions 338 to 795 of the family's 1533-position model. The record is from RNAcentral.